ACUAUGACUGUCUUAAGGUAUCCAUAUUCCUUGUCAUCUAAUUAGUGACAUGCAUGAAUGGAUCAUUAACAAUAUUCCCCACUAUCCCUAGCAAUUAUAUUCUAGAGAAACCACAUCCAAGGGAAUGGGCUUGGUAGGAUUAGUGAGGAAAGAAGACCCUCAUGUUGAGCUUGACUCUAUUCCUAACCCAUUCAUUGU
Non-coding RNA from Picea glauca (white spruce), 198 nucleotides. The record is from Rfam. Lineage: Eukaryota; Viridiplantae; Streptophyta; Pinopsida; Pinales; Pinaceae.